AUUGAACGCUGGCGGCAGGCCUAACACAUGCAAGUCGAGCGAGCGGCGGACGGGUGAGUAAUUUCUGUGAAACUGCCUGAUUGAUGGGGAUAACUACUGGAAACGGUAGCUCAUACCGCAUACCAUCAGAUGUUCCCAGAUGGGAUUAGCUAGGAGGUGGGGUAACGGCUCACCUAGGCGACGAUCCCUAGCUGGUCUGAGAGGAUGACCAGCAACAAUGGAACUGAGACACGGUCCAGACUCCUACGGGAGGCAGCAGUGGGGAAUAUUGCACAAUGGGCGCAAGCCGGAUGCAGCCAUGCCGCGUGUGUGAAGAAGGCCUUCGGGUUGUAAAGCACUUUCAGCGGGGAGGCGUUACCCGCAGAAGAAGCACCGGCUAACUCCGUGCCAGCAGCCGCGGUAAUUC
This 406-nucleotide ribosomal RNA is filed under the name uncultured bacterium. Its description in RNAcentral is "partial 16S ribosomal RNA". It matches the Rfam family "Bacterial small subunit ribosomal RNA", at positions 30 to 526 of the family's 1533-position model. The record is from RNAcentral.